UGAAAAAGACUUUUCAGUGAGUGGCUAGU
Molecule: non-coding RNA, 29 nt
Filed under: Homo sapiens (human)
Lineage: Eukaryota; Metazoa; Chordata; Mammalia; Primates; Hominidae
Source: RNAcentral